RNAcentral lists this long non-coding RNA (856 nucleotides) under Homo sapiens (human). RNAcentral describes it as "HSALNT0129274". Lineage: Eukaryota; Metazoa; Chordata; Mammalia; Primates; Hominidae. The record is from RNAcentral.
CCUCAAAUGCUCCGCUCUGGCCACCCAGUAUAUGCACUGUGUCAAUCAUGCCAAACAGAGCAUGCUUGAGAAGGGAGGAUAAAAACUUUCAGAAUGAGCAAAACACCAUCAACGUUAAUUCCAGAGAUGGAACAUUUUUUUUCCUAGUGAGAAAACAACCCAUUUGAAGAGAAGACCACUAAUGAGAAGACCACUAAAGAGAGACAUCAAGAAUGGAUUCAGCAGAAUCAUUUCACGUUUUGAACAGCAGCAGUUUGAAGGGCCAAAGCCUUGAUCAGGGAUCAGUCAUUAAAGGACACUCUUGAGUAUUAGUAAACCCUCUUAUGAUGAUUAAAAGAGAAGGGCAGCCCUCUCCACCUUUUGGUACUUUCUAUUCAACUUGCACUGACCAUAAAAUGUUUCUCUUCUGAACAAGCCCCAUCAUUUGGUGAACCUCCACCCUAACAAAGUAGGAUGGGGUUGGGGGCUAAAUUAAUUGGAGUGGGGCGAGGAGAGAGCCAGAAAACAUAGAUCCGAGGGCAGCAGUGCUGGGUGGAGAGAGCCAGAAAACAGAUCUGGAGGCAGCAGUGCUGGAUGGAAUUGUCUAGGCUGUGGCAUGUUGGUUUUGUCUUUCUUUUCUCCUUUGAUUAUGUAAGAGCUAUUUCAUUAUAACUUAUUAUGGUGAUUAUACAGGCAAGAAGACAAAAAGGAGAGAAAAUGUACCUCUUCUACUGGAAUAAUGUUUAUGAUUACAAGUGAGAUAAGGUAUUUUUAUCAAUAUGAAGGCAACCUUGGCUGAUAAAACCUCUAUAGUGAAUACUCACAUCUUUACUUCACUCACUAUCAAUAAUAAAUAUAUUUUCUGACAAAGACUGGC